UUGGACGUGAUAUCAAACAAGAUUACC
RNAcentral lists this ribosomal RNA (27 nucleotides) under Dictyuchus sp. BP-S2. RNAcentral's name for it is "partial 28S ribosomal RNA". Lineage: Eukaryota; Oomycota; Saprolegniomycetes; Saprolegniales; Achlyaceae. The record is from RNAcentral.